RNAcentral lists this ribosomal RNA (406 nucleotides) under uncultured bacterium. RNAcentral's name for it is "partial 16S ribosomal RNA". It matches the Rfam family "Bacterial small subunit ribosomal RNA", at positions 29 to 526 of the family's 1533-position model. The record is from RNAcentral.
AUUGAACGCUGGCGGCAGGCCUAACACAUGCAAGUCGAACGAGUGGCGGACGGGUGAGUAAUGUCUGGGAAACUGCCUGAUGGAGGGGGAUAACUACUGGAAACGGUAGCUAAUACCGCAUACCAUCAGAUGUGCCCAGAUGGGAUUAGCUUGUUGGUGGGGUAACGGCUCACCCAGGCGACGAUCCCUAGCUGGUCUGAGAGGAUGACCAGCCACACUGGAACUGAGACACGGUCCAGACUCCUACGGGAGGCAGCAGUGGGGAAUAUUGCAAAAUGGGCGGAAGGCUGAUGCAGGCAUGCCGCGGGGAUGAAGAAGGCCCUCGGGGUGUAAAGUACUUUCAGGGGGGAGGCGGUACCCGCAGAAGAAGCAACGGCUAAAUCCGUGCCAGGAGCCGCGGUAAUAA